RNAcentral lists this ribosomal RNA (664 nucleotides) under Peripatopsis moseleyi. RNAcentral's name for it is "bacterial SSU rRNA". It matches the Rfam family "Eukaryotic small subunit ribosomal RNA", at positions 995 to 1441 of the family's 1831-position model. Lineage: Eukaryota; Metazoa; Onychophora; Udeonychophora; Euonychophora; Peripatopsidae. The record is from RNAcentral.
GGUUCGAAGGCGAUCAGAUACCGCCCUAGUUCUGACCGUAAACGAUGCCACCUGACGAUCCGCCAGGGUUACUACCAUGACUCGGCGGGCAGUCCCCGGGAAACCCAAGCCUUCGGGUUCCGGGGGAAGUAUGGUUGCAAAGCUGAAACUUAAAGGAAUUGACGGAAGGGCACCACCAGGAGUGGAGCCUGCGGCUUAAUUUGACUCAACACGGGGAACCUCACCCGGCCCGGACACCGCGAGGAUUGACAGAUUGAGAGCUCUUUCUCGAUUCGGUGGGUGGUGGUGCAUGGCCGUUCUUAGUUGGUGGAGCGAUUUGUCUGGUUAAUUCCGAUAACGAACGAGACUCUAGCCGGUUAAGUAGCCCGAGCGGUUUUUGAUCUUUGCCGUUCAUCCCCGUUCGACCUUUGCGUCGUCCCAAACCUUUUGUGCGGGCCGUCUCCGUCGUUUUACCGUUUCUCUUGGUUUCCCGAUUGUCCGUCGUCCCGUCGAUCCGUUCGGCGGGUGCCGACGGUUUUCGCGGUUUCCAGGGGGGCGGUGGCGGCGGAACGGUUUCGUUCAGGGGGCGGGUAUACGCUCGGUCGUUUCGGGGUGAAAGCAUAACCGAAGGCCGCCGGCUUUUAAGGAAGCUUCUUAGAGGGACGAGCGGCGUUCAGCCGCCCGA